AGUUCCUUGAAAAUGUGGACUUCUCUGCAGGCCUUCUGGAGUGUCCUCCUGACAGCAACUGGCCUUUCCCAGAGAGAGUGAUCCAACAGAGAGAGCAAGUAGGAUAUAGCUGCGCCUUUCAUGACAGCCUCAGAAGCCACAAAUCACCGUGUCUGCUAUGUUUUAUUCAUCAGAAGUGAGUCGCUGAGUCCAACCAUAUUCACAGGGAGGCAAAGUAAGCUCUACCUCUUAAAGGAAAGGAGUAUCCAAGAAUUUGUGGAUAUAUUUUAAAACGGCCACAGUGAGUUAUCAAACUUGUUUUUAUCUUUGCCAAUAUGAUAGGUGGAAAUGGUAUCUAUUGUGAUUUUAAUGUGCAAUUUCCUUAUUGUGAGUUUUUUUACAGCUUUACUGAGGUAUAAUUGGUAUACAAAAACUGCAUAUAUUUAAUGUGUACAAUUUGAUGAGUUAGAACAUAUGCAAACAUCCAUGAUCUCAUCACCACAAUCAAGGUAAUAGACAUCCAACACCUUACAAGAUAAACAAAAUUGACUAAUCUUUAGCUAGAUUAAGAAAAAGAGGGAGACAACUCAAGUUAAUGAAAUCAGAAACAAAAGAGGAGACCUUGCGCUGUCACAGAAAUUAAAAGGAGAGAGUAGUAUGGAAAAUGAUAUCACAACAAAUUGGAUAACCUGGAAGAAGCAGAUAAAUUUCUAGAUACAUACAACCUACCAAGACUGAAUCAUGAAUAAAUAGAAAAUCUGAACAGAUCAAUAAUGAGUAAGGAGAUUGAAUCAUUAAUUUAAAAUUUCCCAAGAAAGAAAAGCUCAGGACCAGAUGGCUUCAUUCAUGAAUUCUAAUUUUUUUUUUUUUAGAAAAAGAAAACCAUUCAUAUUUCCUUUCUGUAAACUGUCUGUCCAUUACCUUUGUUGAUUUUUCUGUUGGGGUUUUGAUGUUUGUCUGAGGAUAUGAAUUGCAAAUAUUUUCCCUGUUUGCCUGUUAACUUCCUCUGUGGUGGGAUUUUUUUUUUCAUGCCAACUUUCUAAUGAAAUUAAAUUUUCAAAUGUUUCUACUAUUUGGAGCAUCUUAGAAAGAACUUUAGGGCCAGGUGCGGUGGCUCACACCUGUAAUCCCAGCAUUUUGGGAGGCCGAGGUGGGCAGAUCACCUGAGGUCAGGAGUUCAAGCCCAGCCUGACCAACAUGGCGAAACCCCAUCUCUACUGAAAAUACAAUAUUAGCCAGAUGUGAUGGUGCAUGCCUGUAAUCCCAGCUACUGGGGAGACAGAGGCAGGAGAAUCGCUUGAUCCUGGGACGCAGAGGUUGCAGUGAGCCAAGAUUGUGUCAUUGCACUCCAGCCUGGGCAACAAGAGCAAAACUCCAUCUCAAAAAAAAAAAGAAAGAAAGACCUUCAGCUCUCUGAGCAUAUGGUUAACAAUCUGCUAUGUGUUCAUAUAUAUACACAUACGUGUGUGUGUGUGUGUGUGUGUGUGUGUGUGUUUUGGUGGGGGAACAAGGUUUGCUUUGUCACCCAGACUGCAGUGCAGUGGCAUGAUCAUGGCUCACUGCAAUCCUCCCACUUCAGCCUCCUGAGUAGCUGAGACUGAAGCAAUCCUCCCACAUCAGCCUCCUGAGAAGCUAGGACUACAGUUGCAUACCACCACGCUCAGCUAAUUUUUUAAUUUUUGUGGAGACAGGUCUCACUGUGUUGCCCAGAGUGGCUUCAAACUCUCGGGCUCAAGUGAUCCUCCUUCUUGGCCUCCCAAAGUCCUGGGAUUACAGGCAUGAACUGCUGUGCCUGGUCUGUUUUCUUCUAUAUUUUUGUGGUGUAUUUUUUUCUAUAUUCAAAUAUUUGAUUCACCUAAAAUAUAUUUUGGUAUAAGCUGUGAGGUAAGGAAUCAAAUCUUUUUUUUAGUUCCAGAAGUUGACUGCAGAUCCUUGAAUAACAUUGUUUAGUUAACCAUUUCUUCACAACAUUGAUGAGAAAAAUAAAUUGCUUUCCAGCCAGAGCCACUCUCUAUGUGGAGUUUGCACUUUCUCCCCACAUCUGCAUGGGCUUUCUCCAGGUACUUUAGUUUCUACCCACAUCCCAAAGAUAUGCACCUUAGGUUUAUUGGCGUGUCUAAAUUGUCCCAGUGUGAGCAAGAGUGAGUGCGUGGGAGUGUGCCCUGUGAUGGGAUGACAUCCUACCCAAAGUUGGUUCACCUCUUAUGCCCUGAGAUGCCAAGAUAGACUCUGGCCACCAUGACCCUGAACUGAAAUAAGCCGGCUGGAAAAGGAAUGAAUGAAUACAAAUAAUUGUAAAGUAAAAAUUCAUAAAGUAUUCAAUAAUCAUGCAAAUGCACAACAAUAAACGAUGAGGUACAAAAGCACUCAGCAAACCUACCACAUUUAUGACUGUUUUGGAACUGCAUAGGGGCAAGAGAGGCUCCUCACAAUUAUCACUUUGCAAACAUUUAUUCCUUCAUUUAACCCACCACCACUACACCUGCCAUUACUCACUGACUCACCACAAAUUGACUAGUCAUUUACUGAUUUUUAUUAAUCUUUCUCAAAUGUUUGUAUAGCUCAUACUUAUUUCAAUGUUUAAGAUUAGAACUGUUGGGGAUAUUUAUUUAGAAGUUUGGCGAUUUUUUUUUGUGCCAGAAAUAUGCCAUAGGAACUUAGUUCUUGUUUCUCCUAAUUAGCCUAUGGUAAAAUUAGUUUCAUUAUGUGUCCAGUUUCCAGUUACCUAUAGACAAGCAGUCCCCAAAUUUUCUUGGCACCAGGGACCAGUUUCAUGAAAGACAAUUUUUCCAUGGGCCAGGGUGGCAGGGGAUGGUUUAAAGAUGAAACUGUUCCACCUCAGAUUAUCAGGCAUUAGAUUCUCAUAAGGAGUGUGCAACCUAGAUCCCUCACAUGUGCAGUUCACAAUAGGGUUCAUGCUCCUGUGAGAAUCUAAUGCUGCAGCUGAUCUGACAGGAGGUGGAGCUUAGGCCAUAAUGCUCACCUGCCACUCAUCUCGGGCUGUGCGGCCUGGUUCCUAACAGGCCACAAACUGAUAGCAGGGGUUGGGGACCCCUGCUAUAGACAAUGUUAAGUGAGGAGUUACUGUACCUAGUUUCACCAAUAUCAUUUGUUGAAUAAUUGCUAUGUUCUCCUUUGAUCAGCUAGUGUCCUGUUAGGAAAUGUGGAAGUACUCUAGAUAUUUCCAGCAGAGAAUAAAUUAAUGCAAACAAUUUGUGACAAGGAAUUGGAAGGGCUAAAGAAGCAACAGGGGAAAGAGAUAUUAGUCUGUGAUCAUGACGCUGCUAGUGCUCCUGGGCUGGAAACCAACAGUUUAUUUUCACUGCUGAGCUGCUGGCUGCAGGGCCAUUGCUUUUUUGGAACAUUUCUGUAGACAUUGAGCAGGAACCCCAGAACUUACAUUCUAAGGAUGCUGCUCAAACUACCACCAUUCUUACUAAUGCUGGUGGAGCCCAAGUUACCUGCUGCUGAUGUUCCUCCUGCGGCCAGAAGAGGCACCAGAAGCAGAAAAAUGGCUCCUUCUCACCUCUUGUUCCUCAAUCCCAACCAGUGAGUGGCCCUCAGUUGCAGAACCUUACCAUAGGCAGCUGACAAGAAAAUCCAGAAAUGUGGCGCUCUGGCUUCCAGCCAGCAUAUUUGUGGCAGAGGGGAGCAUGGAAGGUUGGGAAUGGGGGUAAAUGCCAACAUAUAAUCGGCUCACCCUCUGCUUUGAAAAAUCACAAAAUAAAUUCCUCAAUGCUUGAGGAUCUAUUCCUAAUUUUUUUCCACUAGUUUAUUUAUCUACUUAACAUUCAGUGUCACGUUGUUUUGAAUAUUAUGUUUUUAUAUCUAGUAGAAACAGUUCCCUCAUUUUUUUUCAUAACUUACCUAGCUUUCCUGGAUUGUUUAUUUUUUCCAUAUAAAUUUUAGGAGGCCAAAGCCUUAUCUGUUAAGAAAUCAGGGC
RNAcentral lists this long non-coding RNA (3922 nucleotides) under Homo sapiens (human). RNAcentral describes it as "non-protein coding lnc-SGTB-4:5". The record is from RNAcentral. Lineage: Eukaryota; Metazoa; Chordata; Mammalia; Primates; Hominidae.